CCAUCAUUUGAACCUCCUGAGAAUGCAUCACAGGGUCGAGUGAAGCUACCACCAGAUGCAUCACUUUCAGUGUACAACAGAAAGGAGGCUGGUGGGGCAGUCAGAGCCUCCAUGAUCAAAGCCACUCAGGAGGGUGAUGAACGCAAAAUUAUAUUCCAGGUAGAAGAAUUUGGUGCACAAGAGAGGUUACCAUCAAGCGUGCUGAGAAGCGCCUGUUCCAGAUAAAUCAGCGCUCUCAUCAUGGUGAUGUAUG
Long non-coding RNA from Pomacea canaliculata, 253 nucleotides. RefSeq lists it as uncharacterized. Lineage: Eukaryota; Metazoa; Mollusca; Gastropoda; Architaenioglossa; Ampullariidae. The record is from RefSeq and is a predicted model, not a curated record. The transcript is spliced from 3 exons.